Sorex araneus (European shrew) is the source of this 286-nucleotide unclassified non-coding RNA. Its record names the gene 7SK. It matches the Rfam family "7SK RNA". From Rfam's summary of the family: 7SK was discovered as an abundant small nuclear RNA in the mid-70s but a possible function has only recently been suggested. Two independent studies have found that 7SK RNA binds the CDK9/cyclin T complex (known as elongation factor P-TEFb). NCBI's taxonomy places the organism in Eukaryota, Metazoa, Chordata, Mammalia, Eulipotyphla, Soricidae. The record is from Ensembl.
AGAUCUGUGAGGGCGAUCUGGCUGCGACAUCUGUCACCCCAUUGAUCCCCAGGGUUGAUUCGGCUGAUCUGGCUGGCUAGGCAGGUGUCCCCUUCCUCCCUCACUGCUCCAUGUGAGUCCCUCCCCAAGCUGUGCGCUCGGUCGAAGAGGACAGCCUUUCCCGAAUAGAGACGAACAGGUCUUCAGUCGAGCUUAUACGAGUAGCUGCGCUCCGCUGCUAGAACCUCCAAAUGACCAAAUAUACAAAUAAAAUGUGGCAAUUGACAAUAACAGUAUUGCCCUCUCU